CAGAUUGAACGCUGGCGGAAUGCUUUACACAUGCAAGUCGAGCGGCAGCACGGGAGCUUGCUCUUGGUGGCGAGUGGCGAACGGGUGAGUAAUGCGUCGGAACGUACCGAGUAAUGGGGGAUAACGCACCGAAAGGUGUGCUAAUACCGCAUACGCCCUCCGGGGGAAAGCAGGGGAUCGUAAGACCUUGCGUUAUUCGAGCGGCCGACGUCUGAUUAGCUAGUUGGUGGGGUAAAGGCCUACCAAGGCGACGAUCAGUAGCGGGUCUGAGAGGAUGAUCCGCCACACUGGAACUGAGACACGGUCCAGACUCCUACGGGAGGCAGCAGUGGGGAAUUUUGGACAAUGGGGGCAACCCUGAUCCAGCCAUUCCGCGUGAGUGAAGAAGGCCUUCGGGUUGUAAAGCUCUUUCAGCUGGAACGAAACGGUACGCUCUAACAUAGCGUGCUAAUGACGGUACCAGCAGAAGAAGCACCGGCUAACUACGUGCCAGCAGCCGCGGUAAUACGUAGGGUGCGAGCGUUAAUCGGAAUUACUGGGCGUAAAGCGUGCGCAGGCGGAUUGUUAAGCAAGACGUGAAAUCCCCGGGCUUAACCUGGGAAUGGCGUUUUGAACUGGCAGUCUAGAGUGUGUCAGAGGGGGGUAGAAUUCCACGUGUAGCAGUGAAAUGCGUAGAGAUGUGGAGGAAUACCAAUGGCGAAGGCAGCCCCCUGGGAUAACACUGACGCUCAUGUACGAAAGCGUGGGUAGCAAACAGGAUUAGAUACCCUGGUAGUCCACGCCCUAAACGAUGUCAACUGGUUGUUGGGGGAGUGAAAUCCCUUAGUAACGAAGCUAACGCGUGAAGUUGACCGCCUGGGGAGUACGGUCGCAAGAUUAAAACUCAAAGGAAUUGACGGGGACCCGCACAAGCGGUGGAUGAUGUGGAUUAAUUCGAUGCAACGCGAAAAACCUUACCUACCCUUGACAUGUCCAGAAUCCUGCAGAGAUGCGGGAGUGCCCGAAAGGGAAUUGGAACACAGGUGCUGCAUGGCUGUCGUCAGCUCGUGUCGUGAGAUGUUGGGUUAAGUCCCGCAACGAGCGCAACCCUUAUCAUUAGUUGCUACGCAAGGGCACUCUAAUGAGACUGCCGGUGACAAACCGGAGGAAGGUGGGGAUGACGUCAAGUCCUCAUGGCCCUUAUGGGUAGGGCUUCACACGUCACACAAUGGUC
RNAcentral lists this ribosomal RNA (1213 nucleotides) under metagenome. RNAcentral describes it as "bacterial SSU rRNA". It matches the Rfam family "Bacterial small subunit ribosomal RNA", at positions 25 to 1235 of the family's 1533-position model. The record is from RNAcentral.